Small nuclear RNA from Octodon degus (degu), 107 nucleotides. Lineage: Eukaryota; Metazoa; Chordata; Mammalia; Rodentia; Octodontidae. The record is from Ensembl.
GUGGUGGGUUUCACAGCAUAUAUGCUAAAAUUGGAGGAAUACAGACAAGAUUUGCAUGGUACCUGCAUAACGGUGACGUGCAUAUUCACAAAAUGCUCCAUGUUCUU